GUUGUAUGGUUAAGUGACUAAGCGUACACGGUGGAUGCCUUGGCAGUCAGAGGCGAUGAAAGACGUAGUAACUUGCGAUAAGCCCAGAUUAGGUAGUAACAACCAUUUGAGUCUGGGAUUUCUGAAUGGGGAAACCCACGUGCAUAAGCACGUAUCCUUACCUGAAUACAUAGGGUAAGGAGGCGAACCGGGGGAAC
Molecule: ribosomal RNA, 197 nt
Filed under: Vibrio parahaemolyticus
Lineage: Bacteria; Pseudomonadati; Pseudomonadota; Gammaproteobacteria; Vibrionales; Vibrionaceae
Description: partial 23S ribosomal RNA
Rfam family: Bacterial large subunit ribosomal RNA
Source: RNAcentral